GCCAGUUUAGCAAAGCGGUUAAUGCGUCGGUCUUGUAAACUGGAGGUCCUGGGUUCAAAUCCCAGAAUUGGCA
This 73-nucleotide transfer RNA is filed under the name bacterium. Its description in RNAcentral is "tRNA-Thr". It matches the Rfam family "tRNA". Rfam says of the family: Transfer RNA (tRNA) molecules are approximately 80 nucleotides in length. Their secondary structure includes four short double-helical elements and three loops (D, anti-codon, and T loops). The record is from RNAcentral.